ACUCCUGCGGGAGGCAGCAGUGGGGAAUAUUGCACAAUGGGCGCAAGCCUGAUGCAGCGACGCCGCGUGGGGGAUGAAGGCCUUCGGGUUGUAAACUCCUUUCGCUAGGGACGAAGCUUUUUUGUGACGGUACCUAGAUAAGAAGCACCGGCUAACUACGUGCCAGCAGCCGCGGUAAUACGUAGGGUGCGAGCGUUGUCCGGAAUUACUGGGCGUAAAGGGCUCGUAGGUGGUUUGUCGCGUCGUCUGUGAAAUUCUGGGGCUUAACUCCGGGCGUGCAGGCGAUACGGGCAUAACUUGAGUGCUGUAGGGGUAACUGGAAUUCCUGGUGUAGCGGUGAAAUGCGCAGAUAUCAGGAGGAACACCGAUGGCGAAGGCAGGUUACUGGGCAGUUACUGACGCUGAGGAGCGAAAGCAUGGGUAGCGAACAGGAUUAGAUACCCUUGUAGUCCCAUGA
Molecule: ribosomal RNA, 457 nt
Filed under: uncultured organism
Description: partial 16S ribosomal RNA
Rfam family: Bacterial small subunit ribosomal RNA
Source: RNAcentral